AGCUAGUGUGGCAUAGUGGUUUGGGUGUUGGAUUCCAACUCUUGAGACCUGGGUUCGAUUCCCAGCUUGGCCA
Non-coding RNA from Phrynosoma platyrhinos (Desert horned lizard), 73 nucleotides. Lineage: Eukaryota; Metazoa; Chordata; Lepidosauria; Squamata; Phrynosomatidae. The record is from the annotation of a GenBank genome assembly.